UACGUAGGGGGCGAGCGUUGUCCGGAAUUACUGGGCGUAAAGCGCGCGUAGGCGGCUUUGUAAGUUAGAGGUGAAAGCCCAGGGCUCAACCCUGGAAUUGCCUUUAAGACUGCAUCGCUUGAACAUCGGAGAGGUAAGUGGAAUUCCGAGUGUAGAGGUGAAAUUCGUAGAUAUUCGGAAGAACACCAGUGGCGAAGGCGACUUACUGGACGAUUGUUGACGCUGAGGUGCGAAAGCGUGGGGAGCAAACAGG
This 253-nucleotide ribosomal RNA is filed under the name uncultured bacterium. RNAcentral describes it as "partial 16S ribosomal RNA". It matches the Rfam family "Bacterial small subunit ribosomal RNA", at positions 524 to 776 of the family's 1533-position model. The record is from RNAcentral.